GAGCAAUCAAAUCAUUUAUUUCUUAAAAUGUUUUCCACAAAACACAAUGCAUAACAUAUGCAGUCUUGAAGAAGCAGAUCAUAUCAAAAAAUGAAAAACACAACCCACAAUCUGCAAUGACAAAACAGAACAAGCAAUAUCUGAUUGCUGCCCAACAACAAUUAGCCAUCAAAUUAAUUACCCAACAAUUGACAAUUAACAAUUAACAUGCAGGCAAUGACAUAAUUAGUUAAUUAAUUAAUUGCCACCGAAGCCCUUAAGCAAAGAAAAGAAACGACGACGUAGGUAGGUAGGAAGAAUUGAAUUGAUGAGUUUCAGUUGUAGUAGAGUUCGAGGCCCAUGCCGUCGUGGAUUUCGUAAUCCUUGAGAGUGAUGUGAUCCUUGUAAAUGUUGUACCACUUUUGGAUUCGGAUCUUAUCGGCUCGGGUCCCCGUCUGGGCCGCCACCAGCUUCUUCAGGUCGCCUAUGGUGUCGUCCUCGUUGCAUUUCACCCGAACCUUCUUUCCCAGCCUGUCGUUCAGCACCACCUCGAUCAUCUUCUUCUCCUUCUUCUUCUGCAAGGUUUCAAGCCCUAAGGCCCCUGACCCCUAUCCCGAGUUUCUCUGGAUUCGUUGUCUACGGACUUGCAGAGGCGCAAAAUACUUGUAAUACCAUAUUCACGUCAGCACAGCAGGCCCUUCUUGUAUUGGAUUACAG
This 696-nucleotide long non-coding RNA is filed under the name Prunus dulcis (almond). RNAcentral's name for it is "sRNA ncRNA". The record is from RNAcentral. Lineage: Eukaryota; Viridiplantae; Streptophyta; Magnoliopsida; Rosales; Rosaceae.